RNAcentral lists this ribosomal RNA (325 nucleotides) under Salmonella enterica subsp. enterica serovar Paratyphi B str. SARA42. RNAcentral's name for it is "bacterial SSU rRNA". It matches the Rfam family "Bacterial small subunit ribosomal RNA", at positions 1 to 321 of the family's 1533-position model. Lineage: Bacteria; Pseudomonadati; Pseudomonadota; Gammaproteobacteria; Enterobacterales; Enterobacteriaceae. The record is from RNAcentral.
AAAUUGAAGAGUUUGAUCAUGGCUCAGAUUGAACGCUGGCGGCAGGCCUAACACAUGCAAGUCGAACGGUAACAGGAAGCAGCUUGCUGCUUCGCUGACGAGUGGCGGACGGGUGAGUAAUGUCUGGGAAACUGCCUGAUGGAGGGGGAUAACUACUGGAAACGGUGGCUAAUACCGCAUAACGUCGCAAGACCAAAGAGGGGGACCUUCGGGCCGUCUUGCCAUCAGAUGUGCCCAGAUGGGAUUAGCUAGUUGGUGAGGUAACGGCUCACCAAGGCGACGAUCCCUAGCUGGUCUGAGAGGAUGACCAGCCACACUGGAACUG